Small nucleolar RNA from Onychomys torridus (southern grasshopper mouse), 74 nucleotides. RefSeq annotates it as small nucleolar RNA SNORD82. The transcript has a single exon. The record is from RefSeq and is a predicted model, not a curated record. Lineage: Eukaryota; Metazoa; Chordata; Mammalia; Rodentia; Cricetidae.
AGCACAAGUGAUGAAUGACAAAGAAAGGGACUUAAUACUGAAACCUAGUGUUGAGAUUCAAUAUGCUGAUGUGC